RNAcentral lists this ribosomal RNA (127 nucleotides) under Paenibacillus nanensis. RNAcentral's name for it is "partial 23S ribosomal RNA". It matches the Rfam family "Bacterial large subunit ribosomal RNA", at positions 2792 to 2925 of the family's 2925-position model. Lineage: Bacteria; Bacillati; Bacillota; Bacilli; Caryophanales; Paenibacillaceae. The record is from RNAcentral.
GCCCCCCUCAAGAUGAGAUUUCCCAAUUCGUAAGACCCCUUGAAGACGACGAGGUUGAUAGGUUCGGGGUGGAAGCACAGCAAUGUGUGGAGCUGACGAAUACUAAUCGGUCGAGGGCUUAUCCUAA